Molecule: ribosomal RNA, 275 nt
Filed under: uncultured bacterium
Lineage: Bacteria
Description: partial 16S ribosomal RNA
Rfam family: Bacterial small subunit ribosomal RNA
Source: RNAcentral
AUACGGAGGGUCCAAGCGUUAUCCGGAUUCAUUGGGUUUAAAGGGUCCGCAGGCGGGAAAAUAAGUCAGUGGUGAAAGCCUACAGCUCAACUGUAGAACUGCCAUUGAUACUGUUUUUCUUGAGUAUAGAUGAAGUGGGCGGAAUAUAUCAUGUAGCGGUGAAAUGCAUAGAUAUGAUAUAGAACACCGAUUGCGAAGGCAGCUCACUAAACUAUUACUGACGCUCAGGGACGAAAGCGUGGGGAGCGAACAGGAUUAGAUACCCCAGUAGUCCC